RNAcentral lists this ribosomal RNA (431 nucleotides) under uncultured bacterium. Its description in RNAcentral is "partial 16S ribosomal RNA". It matches the Rfam family "Bacterial small subunit ribosomal RNA", at positions 29 to 507 of the family's 1533-position model. The record is from RNAcentral.
AACGAACGCUGGCGGCAGGCUUAACACAUGCAAGUCGAACGCCCCGCCAGUGGAGUGGUAGACUGGUGAGUAACGCGUGGGAACAUACCCUUUUCUACGGAAUAGCCCUGGGUAACUGGAAUUAAUACCGUAUACGCCCUACGCGGGAAAGAUUUAUCGGGGAAGGAUUGGCGCGCGUUGGAUUAGCUAGUUGGUGGGGUAAAGGCCUACCAAGGCGACGAUCCAUAGCUGGUCUGAGAGGAUGAUCAGCCACAUUGGGACUGAGACACGGCCCAAACUCCUACGGGAGGGAGCAGUGGGGAAUAUUGGACAAUGGGCGCAAGCUUGAUCCAGCCAUGCCGCGUGAGUGAUGAAGGCCUUAGGGUUGUAAAGCUCUUUCACCGAUGAAGAUAAUGACGGUAGUCGGAGAAGAAGCCCCGGCUAACUUCGUG